This 336-nucleotide ribosomal RNA is filed under the name Elephastomus proboscideus. RNAcentral's name for it is "partial 16S ribosomal RNA". The stretch from base 1 to 175 matches the Rfam family "Archaeal large subunit ribosomal RNA", at positions 1941 to 2143 of the family's 2987-position model. Lineage: Eukaryota; Metazoa; Arthropoda; Insecta; Coleoptera; Bolboceratidae. The record is from RNAcentral.
AAAGUCUGGCCUGCCCAAUGAAUAAUUACUUUUAAAUGGCCGCGGUACUUUGACCGUGCAAAGGUAGCAUAAUAAUUAGUUUUUUAAUUGAGAACUGGUAUGAAAGGUUUGACGAGGGAAAUACUGUCUCGAUUUAAUUUAUAUUAGAAUUUUAUUUUUAAGUAAAAAAGCUUAAAUGAUUUUAAAAGACGAGAAGACCCUAUAGAAUUUUAUAUCCCUAUAUAUAUUUGAAAGGUUAAGAAUUAUAGAUUUAGAUAUAUAUAUUUAUAUUUGGUUGGGGCAACUAAAAAAUUAAAAUAACUUUUUUUAUAUAUAAUACAUUGAUAUAUGAGUAAG